CAGCAGCCGCGGGAAUACGAAGGGUGCAAGCGUUAAUCGGAAUUACUGGGCGUAAAGCGUGCGUAGGCGGUGAGUUAAGUCUGCUGUGAAAUCCCCGGGCUCAACCUGGGAAUGGCAGUGGAUACUGGCUCGCUAGAGUGUGUCAGAGGAUGGUGGAAUUCCCGGUGUAGCGGUGAAAUGCGUAGAGAUCGGGAGGAACAUCAGUGGCGAAGGCGGCCAUCUGGGACAACACUGACGCUGAGGCACGAAAGCGUGGGAGCAAACAGGAUUAGAUACCCGAGUAGUCCCUGUCUCUUAUACC
This 301-nucleotide ribosomal RNA is filed under the name uncultured bacterium. Its description in RNAcentral is "partial 16S ribosomal RNA". It matches the Rfam family "Bacterial small subunit ribosomal RNA", at positions 509 to 808 of the family's 1533-position model. The record is from RNAcentral.